RNA transcript from Brassica oleracea var. oleracea, 1101 nucleotides. It is a transcript of the gene named DUF21 domain-containing protein At4g14240-like, with no coding region annotated. The transcript is spliced from 3 exons. NCBI's taxonomy places the organism in Eukaryota, Viridiplantae, Streptophyta, Magnoliopsida, Brassicales, Brassicaceae. The record is from RefSeq and is a predicted model, not a curated record.
CGUGUCAAAACAUUAUUGGGUAGAAGAUAGAUCUGAGUUUCAUCUGUUCUUUCUCUUCCUUCUCUUCCGUCGCUCGUGCGAUGUAGAUUCUCUUCGAAGAAGAAGCUUUGAUCGAUCGGUUUCGAUCAAAGUCAUAUUAAAACAAUGCUUCACGUCUUGAAAGACUACACAGGCGUCUCAUGUUUCCUCGUCCUGUUCGCGGGAAUCAUGUCUGGUCUGACUUUGGGGCUCAUGUCUCUCGGUCUCGUGGUGCUCGAGAUUCUCCAACUCAGGGGCACUCCCAACAAGAAGAAACAAGCCAGUAAUCAUCUCUCCUUCAUUGUUCCUAUUUUUGUUUUUUUAUUUGAUCUCAUGAUGGUGAUUUUUCUUUAGCUGUGAUAUUCCGGGUUGUUCAGAAACAGCAUCAGCUUUUAGUGACACUGCUUCUGUGCAAUGCUGUUGCAAUAGAGAUGAGAGGAUCAUUUGGUUCUUGAUCAAUUUUAUUGUUUCUUUGGAGUUUUCUCUUGAUCAAGAAAAUGUCAAGUAUCUUCCCGGGAUUAAGCUAGGAAGAAACAGUCUGUUACUACUCUACAGGCCAUGGCUAAGAGAGCAAAAGCAGAGUUGAAAGGAGGGACUUUGAAGACAGUGAGUGAUAAAGGCAAUGGAAGCAACUCUGCGAAGAGUCUCACAGGUUCAGAGAAAGCGAAGCCCUUAAAGAAGACUGAAUUGGUCAAGAAACCAUUGCCUAAGAUGACAAAGACUCCAGGAAAAUCAGUGGUUGAAGUAAAAGAACGUAAAGGACCAGGUUCAAGGGGCUCGCAGGAGAUAAAGGAUCAUGGCCAUGUAAAGUUUCUACUCCCCGGUUUUCCUAGAAGCUCACCUAAGACAAAGUAGUCAUUCCCUCAAAAGCAAAAUUCUAAAAGUAAUCAGUUCGCAGGUUAUCCGUUGUAUUCCUUGCUUGCGGGAGGAGAGACUCAGACUAAAACUCGUGGUAUGCAGUCUAAACAUCACUUUGGUGUUUUUGUCUCAUUCAGUCACAUGUAAUCUUGUGAGUUUGAGUUUGUUGAUUCAUUCAGUGGUUACAUACAACAAUGAGAAAAGGAACAUUAACAUACACACACA